GAUCCUGGCUCAGAUUGAAAGCUGGCGGCAGGCUUAACACAUGCAAAGUCGAGCGGAGAGAGAUAGCUUGCUACUGAUCUUAGCGGCGGACGGGUGAGUAAUGCUUAGGAAUCUGCCUAUUAGUGGGGGACAACAUUUCGAAAGGAAUGCUAAUACCGCAUACGUCCUACGGGAGAAAGCAGGGGAUCUUCGGACCUUGCGCUAAUAGAUGAGCCUAAGUCGGAUUAGCUAGUUGGUGGGGUAAAGGCCUACCAAGGCGACGAUCUGUAGCGGGUCUGAGAGGAUGAUCCGCCACACUGGGACUGAGACACGGCCCAGACUCCUACGGGAGGCAGCAGUGGGGAAUAUUGGACAAUGGGCGCAAGCCUGAUCCAGCCAUGCCGCGUGUGUGAAGAAGGCCUUAUGGUUGUAAAGCACUUUAAGCGAGGAGGAGGCUACUUUAGUUAAUACCUAGAGAUAGUGGACGUUACUCGCAGAAUAAGCACCGGCUAACUCUGUGCCAGCAGCCGCGGUAAUACAGAGGGUGCAAGCGUUAAUCGGAUUUACUGGGCGUAAAGCGCGCGUAGGCGGCUAAUUAAGUCAAAUGUGAAAUCCCCGAGCUUAACUUGGGAAUUGCAUUCGAUACUGGUUAGCUAGAGUGUGGGAGAGGAUGGUAGAAUUCCAGGUGUAGCGGUGAAAUGCGUAGAGAUCUGGAGGAAUACCGAUGGCGAAGGCAGCCAUCUGGCCUAACACUGACGCUGAGGUGCGAAAGCAUGGGGAGCAAACAGGAUUAGAUACCCUGGUAGUCCAUGCCGUAAACGAUGUCUACUAGCCGUUGGGGCCUUUGAGGCUUUAGUGGCGCAGCUAACGCGAUAAGUAGACCGCCUGGGGAGUACGGUCGCAAGACUAAAACUCAAAUGAAUUGACGGGGGCCCGCACAAGCGGUGGAGCAUGUGGUUUAAUUCGAUGCAACGCGAAGAACCUUACCUGGCCUUGACAUAGUAAGAACUUUCCAGAGAUGGAUUGGUGCCUUCGGGAACUUACAUACAGGUGCUGCAUGGCUGUCGUCAGCUCGUGUCGUGAGAUGUUGGGUUAAGUCCCGCAACGAGCGCAACCCUUUUCCUUAUUUGCCAGCGAGUAAUGUCGGGAACUUUAAGGAUACUGCCAGUGACAAACUGGAGGAAGGCGGGGACGACGUCAAGUCAUCAUGGCCCUUACGGCCAGGGCUACACACGUGCUACAAUGGUCGGUACAAAGGGUUGCUACCUAGCGAUAGGAUGCUAAUCUCAAAAAGCCGAUCGUAGUCCGGAUUGGAGUCUGCAACUCGACUCCAUGAAGUCGGAAUCGCUAGUAAUCGCGGAUCAGAAUGCCGCGGUGAAUACGUUCCCGGGCCUUGUACACACCGCCCGUCACACCAUGGGAGUUUGUUGCACCAGAAGUAGCUAGCCUAACUGCAAAGAGGGCGGUUACCACGGUGUGGCCGAUGACUGGGGUGAAGUCGUAACAAGGUAGCC
This 1493-nucleotide ribosomal RNA is filed under the name Acinetobacter sp. R1-3A. RNAcentral describes it as "bacterial SSU rRNA". It matches the Rfam family "Bacterial small subunit ribosomal RNA". Lineage: Bacteria; Pseudomonadati; Pseudomonadota; Gammaproteobacteria; Moraxellales; Moraxellaceae. The record is from RNAcentral.